CCUGUCGUGCGACCCACUUCUUCGCAUGCGCAGUCGGCCGUUCCCGUGCGUCCUUUCCGUGCGUCCUUCGCGCGCUUGCGGCUUGAGCGUACUGUGUGAGUCUCCCGAGAUGUUUCUACAAGUUCCAGAAAUAAUGUUAAAUGUUCUGGAAACAAUUAAUAAAUCUACUUCUGAAAACGGACUACAUUCUGUACUCCAAAAGUAUGCUAAGAGUGACAUGAUGUCUCCAGAUAAACAUAGUCCAUAUUCCUGCAAUGCCAAUUUGCCUUGAUAGUGAGUACUUUAAAACAUUAAUAUUGCAAAAACAAACAGAUGUGGAAUAACCUCAAAAUCAAAGCAGAAGCAUUGGAUAAAUAAAUCUAAAGUCACAGGGUAUAGGUUUAUUCUCUUCUGGGCUACUCAGGAAUACUGGUCAAAGUGAUGCAGUAUACCAAAAGUCUCAGUGUAUAAAAAUGUACUUUUUCCAGG
RNAcentral lists this long non-coding RNA (468 nucleotides) under Dasypus novemcinctus (nine-banded armadillo). RNAcentral describes it as "lncRNA (ENSDNOG00000050838.1)". The record is from RNAcentral. Lineage: Eukaryota; Metazoa; Chordata; Mammalia; Cingulata; Dasypodidae.